RNAcentral lists this long non-coding RNA (1713 nucleotides) under Nicotiana benthamiana. RNAcentral describes it as "long non-coding RNA (NBEN_LNC016887)". Lineage: Eukaryota; Viridiplantae; Streptophyta; Magnoliopsida; Solanales; Solanaceae. The record is from RNAcentral.
CAACACCCGCGUCAUGAAUUAAACUAAUAGCAUAAAUAGGUGGACUAGGACCUUCAGCAAGUUGGGCCAUCCAUUAGCCCUAUAAAGGGCUGUCAAACAUUGGGCCUAAUAUCAACUCAAUUUGGAAGUGCUCCUAACAAUCCAUGGUUCAGCCAAAUAACUUGAUUCAAAGGCUAGUCACAUUGGGCUUGUUGUUACAUUACUGGGCCUUCACUUUCAUACAGAUUUUAAUUUGAGUCUAUUAACAGUUUACGUAACACAUGAAAUGGUCUAUUUAAAUUAGAACAUAUUGAUCUCUAGGUUCAGGUACAUAUUCAAUUCACGGGCAUUAAAGAACCAAUACACUUGACCUGGGGUUUUAACAGCAAUUCAAAGCAAUUCGUAAAUCCCAAACUAUUGAAAUGCAACGUAAAUACUGUUUUUAAAAAUAUAAUUAGUCCUUCUAAAAUCACAGGAAAUGCUUUACUUCCUAUAUGAUAAGUAUAUAGGAUGGUCCUAGAUUCGAAUCAUGAUAAUAUGUUCUAAGGCUACUAACUAAAUAAAAACUAACGUUGUUAGCCCAAAUAUCACAUUCGAGGCUUAAGCCAUAAAUUAGCAUAAUAGCUAAACUACAUUGACUACACUACAAGCAAAUAACUUCAAUCAGAAUCGAUUCUAACUAACCCAAUGUCCUAAGGCUAAAUUUAGUAUUAUACUAACCAAAAUCAGUAAAUUAAUAGCUGUGGAAACAAUAAAAUCAAAAAUGCAAAGCAAUGACUACACACGGAAUUCUACAGUUGAAAUCAAAUCCAAUGACCAAAAUGUAAUCAGAACCAAUUAAAACCUGAUUCAAGGAAUACUAGAGAUGAAUGAAAGAACAACAAAAAUCAGAAACUUAUGCAAAAAGGAAAAAUAAAUAUAAGAAUAAAAAUCAACAAACAAGGAGAAAUGCUAACCUUAUCGAACUAAAUUAAUCAAUAAGAAAUCAAAUUGAAGACUUAAAUAAAAUUAAGUGAACCUAAAAUACUGCAUGAUUGAACUGAUUUAUAGAAGAGCAGAUUUAAACUCAUUUUAAAAGCAAGGGAUUUAAAACAAAAUAAAAUAAAAUAAGAACUUAUCUAUGCAGGGCCAUCAAUAGGUAUUGGGCUUCGCUUUGAGAAUUCAAGGGAAAAAUCACCAUUUUCGAACUUUCUAGGGUUCUGCCUAUCUGUGAUUUAAAAUUCGAGCAGCUCAGGUGAUAUUCGAAGUAAAAUACCAAUUGAUUUGUGGUGAGGGAGGUAUAGGGGUUUUUUGGUGUGAUUUUGAGGCGUUUUGAAAUAACGCUGCCGGACAUGGCAGAGCCAGCAGUCAUUUCCUUGAAUAUUCGAGACGAUUGGUGGAGAUUUGAGAGAAACCAGGCCCAAAUCUAGAAAGGAGAGGUGGAGGAGCAUCUAUGGUGUAAUUUUAGGAUGAUUUGGAGAAUAGCCGCCAGUGGAGGCGAUUUCCGGCCGGCGGCGAAUGGACGGUGGGAGACAGUGGCGUUACACCGGUGUAUGUUGGGGGUGUUUUGAGAGGUGAUUGAGGGGUAGAGGGCUGUUUGGACACUUUUAUACUGUAAAACUUAGUUAGUUCCGGACCGUUGGAUUGAUUAGAUCUAACAGUCGUGAUUCAAAGACCAUAAACGACGUUGUUUUGAUGGUUAAUGAUGUUGGUUCGGGUUAGGGUUUGGGUUUGGAAUGGAUUUGCGGGUUGGGC